This 253-nucleotide ribosomal RNA is filed under the name uncultured bacterium. RNAcentral's name for it is "partial 16S ribosomal RNA". It matches the Rfam family "Bacterial small subunit ribosomal RNA", at positions 524 to 776 of the family's 1533-position model. The record is from RNAcentral.
UACGUAGGGGUCGAGCGUUGUCCGGAGUUACUGGGCGUAAAGCGUGCGCAGGCGGCUCAUUGCGCCCGGCGUGAAAGCCCCCGGCUCAACCGGGGAGGGUCGUCGGGGACGGGUGAGCUUGAGGGUAUCAGGGGUUGGUGGAAUUCCCGGUGUAGUGGUGAAAUGCGCAGAUAUCAGGAGGAACACCGAUGGCGAAGGCAGGUCUCUGGGCCACUACUGACGCUGAGAAGCGAAAGCAUGGGGAGCGAACAGG